GAUGAACGCUAGCGGGAGGCCUAACACAUGCAAGCCGAGCGGUAUUGUUUCUUCGGAAAUGAGAGAGCGGCGUACGGGUGCGUAACACGUGUGCAACCUGCCUUUAUCUGGGGGAUAGCCUUUCGAAAGGAAGAUUAAUACUCCAUAAUAUAUUGAACGGCAUCGUUUAAUAUUGAAAGCUCCGGCGGAUAGAGAUGGGCACGCGCAAGAUUGGCUAGUUGGUGAGGUAACGGCUCACCAAGGCGAUGAUCUUUAGGGGGCCUGAGAGGGUGAUCCCCCACACUGGUACUGAGACACGGACCAGACUCCUACGGGAGGCAGCAGUGAGGAAUAUUGGUCAAUGGGUGCAAGCCUGAACCAGCCAUCCCGCGUGAAGGACGACUGCCCUAUGGGUUGUAAACUUCUUUUGUAUAGGGAUAAACCUACCCUCGAGAGGGUAGCUGAAGGUACUAUACGAAUAAGCACCGGCUAACUCCGUG
RNAcentral lists this ribosomal RNA (479 nucleotides) under uncultured bacterium. RNAcentral's name for it is "partial 16S ribosomal RNA". It matches the Rfam family "Bacterial small subunit ribosomal RNA", at positions 28 to 507 of the family's 1533-position model. The record is from RNAcentral.